This 465-nucleotide ribosomal RNA is filed under the name uncultured bacterium. RNAcentral's name for it is "partial 16S ribosomal RNA". It matches the Rfam family "Bacterial small subunit ribosomal RNA", at positions 28 to 507 of the family's 1533-position model. The record is from RNAcentral.
GACGAACGCUGGCGGCGUGCUUAACACAUGCAAGUCGAACGGAAAGGCCCCCUUGUGGGGUACUCGAGUGGCGAACGGGUGAGUAACACGUGAGUAACCUACCCUUGACUUUGGGAUAACUUCAGGAAACUGGGGCUAAUACCGGAUAGGAGCUCCUGCUGCAUGGUGGGGGUUGGAAAGUUUCGGCGGUUGGGGAUGGACUCGCGGCUUAUCAGCUUGUUGGUGGGGUAGUGGCUCACCAAGGCUUUGACGGGUAGCCGGCCUGAGAGGGUGACCGGCCACAUUGGGACUGAGAUACGGCCCAGACUCCUACGGGAGGCAGCAGUAGGGAAUAUUGCACAAUGGGCGGAAGCCUGAUGCAGCAACGCCGCGUGCGGGAUGACGGCCUUCGGGUUGUAAACCGCUUUCGCCUGUGACGAAGCGUGAGUGACGGUAAUGGGUAAAGAAGCACCGGCUAACUACGUG